RNAcentral lists this long non-coding RNA (399 nucleotides) under Piliocolobus tephrosceles (Ugandan red Colobus). RNAcentral's name for it is "lncRNA (ENSPTEG00000038156.1)". The record is from RNAcentral. Lineage: Eukaryota; Metazoa; Chordata; Mammalia; Primates; Cercopithecidae.
CCUGGCCUACAGCGGACCCAGGAGCACCUUUGCCAGGCUGAGCGGGAGGCCCGGCAGGUUCACCAGGCUCAGGACUGAGCCUGUGCCUGGCACAUCAUCACUCACAGACGUGAUGCUGAGUGGCUGAGACCGAACAGCAACAAGACCAAGCUCUUUGGGAAAGCCUCAGAGCCCCCGAAGGCUACGUCAGGAGCCGCUGGAGACAAGCUGUCACCCUCUGGCUUCCCAGGGAAUCCAAUGGCACGGGUGUUUCCCAGGCCUGGGUGUCGCGUCCCGCAGUGGCGUCCUCACCUCUCCCCUCGUUCAUCAGUGUGUUUGCAGCCGCAGCCCCUCAUUUCCUCUCUGAGGAUUGCAGACCAGGGACAGCUCGGCUGAGUGGCUCCUAAAGGUACUUUCCAA